CUGAAACAGUAAGGGAAAAAAUGUGCAAAAGAUGUAUAUAGGGUUGCUGACAGAGCUUAGUGGUGAUUAAAUAACUUCCCGUUACAUAAGGAAUCAGAUCUGAAAGCUGCUGCUAAAUGACAUUAAACUCAGCAUUGCUGUCAGUUAUUAAUGAGGCUGUAUUAUAGAUGGAAUUGUCCAGGAAGUUACCAAACAAUAUUGUGCUGUCAUUUAUCUCAUCCUAAGGUUUCAUCACUUGUCCACACUGCCAAACCUACACUUGUUUAUGCAGUCCAGCUGCAGGGAGUCAGAAACCCACGUGGAUACGUCUGGCUUUGUAUGAGUCCAUUUCAGUUCACCUUACAAUUUCUGUGGUCUGAGGGAUGUUGAUGUUCUAUAAGAAGCACCCAAUACCAGAUCGCACAGAAUGCUGGGUUACUGCCAAGUGCUCUUGUUCUCCACGAUGCCAUUUGUCUUGUGGAUGCUGUAACUAACAGUACAUGUCGCCGAAGUGCUGUCUUUUCUUUUUCCUCUGUAAUUCUAACACAAGCCUUUAGCCAGCAUCAUGUUAUUUAUAGAUCCGAUUGUGCUGUUUGUGCUGCACCAACCUGGGAGGCUCUGCGGAUGCCAGACUGUGUCUGAUGAGUUAAUGUCUUUAUUAUUAAUUUUAAGUGUUUUUCUGCUACUAAGAAUUACUGAUGCCAUUAAUCUUUUCUUCCUAGAAGUGGAAAGCUAAAUAACCAUUUAGAAGCUGCUAUACAUGAGGCCAUGAGUGAACUAGAUAAAAUGUCUGGGAAUGUCCACCAAAUCCCGCAGGGAGACAGACAAGUGAAGCCUCCAAAACCCAAGAGGAGGAAGAUCUCUAGAUAACAUUGAAUGUCUUUGUUACUGGUCCAGUUCUUAUCAAAACGAACGUGCACAUAAGUCUGUAUGUAGGUAUUGAUAUAGACGUGGUUAUAUCAAUAUUUAUAUGAAGACGGCCGCCGCCGCGGGGUGCUACGUGGAGUGUGGUACAGUGUGUGGAUGAGCAGGAGGGAGAGAGGUUGCUGGAAAAGCCAAUCAGAAAUCUGGGAAGGUUACAGUAACCAUGUCAGAUGAUUACUGAGGGGUUUUUUUGUUUUGUUUUGUUUUUUUUUCUAUAAUACUAAAAUUGUGAUUAUAAGGAAUAGUCCAAAUGUUUCUGAGAAAUUUUCAUUGUGUAUAUAGAUAAUACAGAAUUUCAUGGUGAUAUCUGAAAUGUAAAUAUUGUACAAUAUUGUCAUGUACAAGCGUACCUAAUGCACACUUUAUCUUUUAUUGUACAAAAAAUAGUGUACAAAAUUCUUUGGUUUCUAUUGAGUACACAUACAAGAGACUACCAGUGUAAAGUGAUAAAUAAAAAUACAGCCUAAAUGCUUUUAUAUGAUAAUGUAAAA
Molecule: non-coding RNA, 1394 nt
Organism: Meleagris gallopavo (turkey)
Lineage: Eukaryota; Metazoa; Chordata; Aves; Galliformes; Phasianidae
Source: RefSeq, a predicted model, not a curated record